AUUUCCCAUGGGCAUAAAGUUCAAGAUGCUUUACUGGUUCCUUUCGAGACUGAACUACAGACACAGGACUACCAUCCAAACAAUUUGAAAACGGGGGUUGUUGAGCAAGGCGCGCAAGGCAGAAGCAACCGAAUAAACAAAAACAACACUCGCAAGAGUUAGCCACAGCAAAGAGGGGCCAGGUUCCUCGGGAUCCGACCCAGCUGCUCUGAUUUCACACCGACCUCCAUCAACAGCUAAACUGCACAGGGAGGAGGAUCGAACGGAUCCCUCCCGCCCUCCGCCCAAGGAGCCGACCCGGGGUAGCAAGACCCCCGCCCCCGCCAGGCUAGGACGAGCAGCCGCCACCGCUGCCACCGCCACCACCGCCGCCGCAGCGCCUCAGUGCGGCCCCGCCUCCGCCGCCCCACCACCUUCACCACCUCCACGCUCCGGUACCGCCCCUCCCGCCAAUCGGACAGCUCCGGCUACGCCCCCAGGGCGCUAGCCCGCAGCCAAUGAGCAACGAGAGCCCGACUGGGAGUCGCGCCGGCCAAUCGCAGGGGCCGAGGAAGCCUUGAAUCUCCGGGCAAGUUAAGUUUAUCUCCGAGGCUCGGAACUGAAGGGAGGUGGCGGUUAGCUAAGUAGUAGGGUAGCAGGGAACAGUUUGCUCUCCUCUGCCAAUAAGAGGACGAGGGUGUGUCAUAUGCAAAUAUACUGCCCUCCAAGCCCCACCCCCAAGAUAAGCUACGCCCCCUUCUCUAGGUCCCUGCAGAAGUGACCUUCCUGAGGCAGCUGUUCGGAUACAUGCAGAGCACAGCGCCCUGCUCAGAAAGGAAGGUUCAGAGAACAAAUUGUCGUUUAAAACUAUUGGGACAAACCUACCUCUUCUAAAGCUUAAAAUGGUCUCCAGCGUACCAGGAUUUGUGAAGGCCUGAAGUUCGUAGAAUGAAAUCUAUGUGGAGAUGAUUUAAAAGAACGGUUUCACUGAGACCAACACAUAUAAACCAAGUCUACACAAGAAACAAAGCUAAAAUCCUUUCGAAAUGAGUUCCUUUAAGUUCUUCAGUAACUAAAUCCUCCAGAAAGGAAAGCCGAGAGAAUCUAGUCCUAUACAAUAACACCCUCUAACAAAGAUCGCUAAAGGAAGAUUUUAGUAGAUGAAUAUCUUCAAUAAUACAUGGUCACAUACAUGUAUCUGACCAUAUGAUGGCUCUCUGCACCAAAUUCCUCCAAACUAUUAUAAUAUGUAUUGUCUGUAGUGCUAUUUAUUUGGCAGUUAAUCAUGUAUUACAUUGUGACAUUUCUUACAGUGAACCAUUAUGUAUGUGUUUAUGUUCUGCCCUCAACUACUCAAUGCCAGUACCUUAUUCUUAACACAGCAACCACCCUUUCUGGUCUGUCCUCACACCCUCAUUCCCAUCAUAGUUAUUCUCCUCUCUCAUGGAAAUGUUCAGUUUCUGGACAUCUCCUUUCUCUUCCAUUCUUCACCUGACCUUCCUUCCUUUCUUGGCCAGCCUGAAUAUUAUAAAGGGAAUUUUAUUUCAAACCCAGGAUCGCACUUAAGAGGAAAAGAAACAAAAGCCAGUUCUUUUUAUUGCACAUAGAACAAGGAGAAACUCCACCCCUUUUGUUGUCUGGUAUGUUUAAAACAAGAAAGAACUUUAGAAAAGUAGGAUAUGAGUGAAAAUUACAACCAAUGUUGAGAACUACUUUUUAAUUUUUUAUUACAAAAUUAGGAUGAUACUUCAUUAAACAUUGUACAUCAUUUCAAAACUGUUAUCUCAUAAUCAUGUUGCUUGUUUUGAAUUAUUCUUUUAAAGUGUAAUUUUUUUAAGCAAAGAAUCCAUAAAAUUACAUGGCUUGGAUGUACCAUAACUUACUUAAUCCUUAUGCUAUUGUUUAAUAUGUGGGUUGUUUCAGAUUUUUCAUGAUUGUAAAUAACAAAAUAAACUUCCUUAUACUUAA
RNAcentral lists this long non-coding RNA (1947 nucleotides) under Homo sapiens (human). Its description in RNAcentral is "lncRNA imatinib upregulated". The record is from RNAcentral. Lineage: Eukaryota; Metazoa; Chordata; Mammalia; Primates; Hominidae.